This 253-nucleotide ribosomal RNA is filed under the name uncultured bacterium. RNAcentral's name for it is "partial 16S ribosomal RNA". It matches the Rfam family "Bacterial small subunit ribosomal RNA", at positions 524 to 776 of the family's 1533-position model. The record is from RNAcentral.
UACGGAGGGGGCGAGCGUUAUUCGGAAUUAUUGGGCGUAAAGGGCGCGUAGGCGGCCCGGUAAGUCAAAGGUGAAAUCCCUCGGCUCAACUGAGGAACUGCCUUUGAAACUGUCGGGCUGGAGGCCAGUAGGGGGAUGCGGAAUUCCGGGUGUAGUGGUGGAAUGCGUAGAGAUCCGGAGGAACACCAGCGGCGAAGGCGGCAUCCUGGACUGGUCCUGACACUCAUGAGCGAAAGCGUGGGGAGCGAUCCGG